Molecule: long non-coding RNA, 1105 nt
Filed under: Bos taurus (domestic cattle)
Lineage: Eukaryota; Metazoa; Chordata; Mammalia; Artiodactyla; Bovidae
Description: long non-coding RNA NONBTAT018816
Source: RNAcentral
GUGGCUAAAGUUAGAGACUACAGUGCAGAACGAGGAAGACAGAAGUGGACAGAUGGUAUGGAGUCUCCAAGGGGGUAGAGGCAACCAAGUUCUACAACAGCUUUGGCUGCAAACUGUUAAUUGACAUGCAGAGUAUCAAUGACUGAAUAGAAACAAAAGAGCUUUCAAAUUAACCAGAGACUUUAAUUUGAUUUUGUGAAAAAAAGCUUGGAAGCAAUCAUUUCUCUUUUGUGUUUGUUACCUGUGAGCUUAUACAGUGCAAAUAUUAACUAGGGAGAACCUGUAACUAUGAAAUGCUGUGUAAUUUAAGAGGACACCCAUAGCACACAGUUGCUGGAAGACAGAUCCUUCCACUGAUCAUUUAACAUUCACAAAAGAAAAAUAUAUAUAUAUAACAAAACUGAAAUUUGCAUCUAUGGUUAUUAAAACACAAAAGCACUAAGAGUCUGGUCUUUUUUUUUUUUUUCCAUUUUUUAAAUGAAUUAUAAAACAUGAUCCCAAUUUUAACAGUUUAAAAAAUUAUCUUACUAGAUUUGUAAUCAAGUGCUUUGAUGGGUAAAUAUAUCAGCCUAUGGAACUUUUUUUCCUAAAGAUGUUCUUGAAAUUUUUUUGAACAAUAUCCAAUCUUAUAUUUUCUUAUGAUUGUCAUGGACACAACAGCCUAAUGGCUGUCAACUUUCAGUUUUGUUUGUUGCACUCCAAAGUCACUGUCUAUUUAAGCAUAUAUGAUAUAGAAUACAAGCAUUCUUCCUAAAACAAUAUUAACAAUUACUAUGCUCAGAGUUCACAGUUCUAUAACAAUUUUACAUUAAACACUCAAAACAUUGUACAACCAUAGAUAUUUGUGAGUAGUCUCGAGAAAAAGCUGUAAUUUGGUAUGUUAAGGCAUCUUCAGCCAACAUAUUAAGAAGUUCUGAAUAUCUCUCGCAACAAAAGAUGAAUUUAAUAUUUGAAUAUUUGAUAUUUUCAAGAAAUUUCAAAAGUCACUUAAAAAUAAGAAUACCAUAAUUUGUGAAAUUGUGUUCCUAAACAUUCUUCUACAUUCUUACCACAUAACUUACCUAAAAUCAAGAUACUCAUCCUAUCAGUAUCAACAAUAUCUAUU